GCCUGGCUGGCUCAGUUGGUAGAGCAUGUGACUCUUGAUCUUGGGGUUGUGAGUUCAAGUCCCACAUUGGGCA
This 73-nucleotide transfer RNA is filed under the name Canis lupus familiaris (dog). It matches the Rfam family "tRNA". Rfam says of the family: Transfer RNA (tRNA) molecules are approximately 80 nucleotides in length. Their secondary structure includes four short double-helical elements and three loops (D, anti-codon, and T loops). RNAcentral also lists the same sequence under 2 other names. Lineage: Eukaryota; Metazoa; Chordata; Mammalia; Carnivora; Canidae. The record is from Rfam by way of RNAcentral.